This 321-nucleotide ribosomal RNA is filed under the name uncultured eukaryote. Its description in RNAcentral is "partial 18S ribosomal RNA". It matches the Rfam family "Eukaryotic small subunit ribosomal RNA", at positions 1470 to 1796 of the family's 1831-position model. The record is from RNAcentral.
CCCUUAGAUGUCCUGGGCCGCACGCGCGCUACACUGACAUGUUCAACAAGCCUCCUAGUUCGACAGGAUUUGGGAAAUCUUUGAACGCAUGUCGUGAUAGGGAUAGAUCAUUGCAAUUAUUGAUCUUGAACGAGGAAUUCCUAGUAAACGCGAGUCAUCAGCUCGCAUUGAUUACGUCCCCGCCCUUUGUACACACCGCCCGUCGCACCUACCGAUUGAAUGUUUCGGUGAAGAUUCCGGAUAGGACUUUUUUGAUUUAUUUCAAUUCUGUCUUAAAAGCUAUCUAAACCUCAACAUUUAGAGGAAGGUGAAGUCGUAACA